UUCUUUAUUGAUCUCUCACGGCUUGAUGUUACAAGGGGUGAGGUGCGCACAUAUAUAUAUAUAUUAGCUAGCCUGCUAAUACCAUUUCGAUCAUUGCUUAGAAACCUAGUCGGACACGUAAUGAAUCUGAUAUGGCCACGUUCUUUCGUGUUUAAUUCCAACGAAGCUCCGGUACUGUACCAUUUACCGGGUUGGUUAAGCGGUUAUUGGUACACUCUGUUAGGUAUCAGUGUUGGCUUGCAAGGUUUGCCAGGGUUGGCAGUGCGCGUAUAUUCCCAGUGCCUCACAAUCCCAUCUACAAACAUUAUACCUAUGCAGAGCUAGUUCAGGAACAACUUCAUAUGCAUUACCUAUACACAAUGGAAGAACAUGAGCGGGUGUGUACUACAAAGAGCUUUACUAGCGUUCUAGGUUCCUGGUGCAGCACGGUACGUGGUACCUAGUGGAGCCAUUUAUAGAUUUAGGCCAAGGAGCCAUGUCAUGCAUGUAC
RNAcentral lists this long non-coding RNA (490 nucleotides) under Hordeum vulgare. RNAcentral's name for it is "long non-coding RNA (HVUL_LNC013762)". The record is from RNAcentral. Lineage: Eukaryota; Viridiplantae; Streptophyta; Magnoliopsida; Poales; Poaceae.